Molecule: non-coding RNA, 148 nt
Filed under: Homo sapiens (human)
Lineage: Eukaryota; Metazoa; Chordata; Mammalia; Primates; Hominidae
Source: Rfam by way of RNAcentral
GCUGGGCAUGCUGGCGCAUGCCUGUGGUCCCAGCUACUCAGGAGGCCGAGGUAGGAGGAUCACUUGAGCUCGGGCAGUUGAGGCUGCAGUGAGCCAUGAUUGUGCCACUGCACUCCAGCCUGGGUAACAGAGUGAGAACUUGUCUCAA